AACGCACAUUGCGCCCCUUGGUAUUCCAUGGGGCAUGCCUGUUCGAGCGUCAUUUGUACCUUCAAGCUCUGCUUGGUGUUGGGUGUUUGUCCCGCCUUUGCGCGUGGACUCGCCUUAAAGCAAUUGGCAGCCGGCGUAUAGAUUUCGGAGCGCAGCACAAAACGCGCUUUGUUAGCAAUACGGUGGCGUCCAGUAAGACUUUUUUUAACUCUUGACCUCGGAUCAGGUAGGGAUACCCGCUGAACUUAA
Molecule: unclassified non-coding RNA, 249 nt
Filed under: Urnula sp.
Lineage: Eukaryota; Fungi; Ascomycota; Pezizomycetes; Pezizales; Sarcosomataceae
Also listed under: 1 other name
Description: partial contains 5.8S ribosomal RNA, internal transcribed spacer 2, and large subunit ribosomal RNA
Source: RNAcentral